AUUGAACGCUGGCGGCAGGCUUAACACAUGCAAGUCGAGCGGAGAUGAGGUGCUUGCACCUUAUCUUAGCGGCGGACGGGUGAGUAAUGCUUAGGAAUCUGCCUAUUAGUGGGGGACAACAUUCCGAAAGAAAUGCUAAUACCGCCUACGUCCUACGGGAGAAAGCAGGGGAUCUUCGUACCUUGCGCUAAUAGAUGAGCCUAAGUCGGAUUAGCUAGUUGGUGGGGUAAAGGCCUACCAAGGCGACGAUCUGUAGCGGGUCUGAGAGGAUGAUCCGCCACACUGGGGCUGAGACACGGCCCAGACUCCUACGGGAGGCAGCAGUGGGGAAUAUUGGACAAUGGGGGAAACCCUGAUCCAGCCAUGCCGCGUGUGUGAAGAAGGCCUUAUGGUUGUAAAGCACUUUAAGCGAGGAGGAGGCUACUGAGACUAAUACUCUUGGAUAGUGGACGUUACUCGCAGAAUAAGCACCGGCUAACUCUGUGCCAGCCGCCGCGGUAA
Molecule: ribosomal RNA, 501 nt
Filed under: uncultured bacterium
Lineage: Bacteria
Description: partial 16S ribosomal RNA
Rfam family: Bacterial small subunit ribosomal RNA
Source: RNAcentral